Molecule: long non-coding RNA, 5355 nt
Filed under: Gallus gallus (chicken)
Lineage: Eukaryota; Metazoa; Chordata; Aves; Galliformes; Phasianidae
Source: RNAcentral
GGAGGAGCCCGCGCAGGCGGACACGGAGCGGCGGGCGGAGCGGGGACACUGCGCCUGCGGCACCGCCCUCAGCGCCCUUCGCACGCAGCCCCGAGGCGGCACAGGCAGCUGUUCCAAAGUCAAAUGUUUAUUAGGUACAUCGAACUUUAAAAAAAAAAAAAAGUCAAAGAAUUAUGCAAGAAAUAUGCUUAAAUGCAAUAGUAAAUGUUACUGCAAUGGUGCUACAUUUCAGAACCGCCUUCCCGCUGUCAGCACCACCGGCACAGCCCCGCGCUGAGGGCUGACCCGGGCAGCGCUGUGAGCAGACGGCACAGAGACGAACUCCGCGGUUCCAUCCGCCGCAGCGCUGCCGUAACGAAGCAUCUUCGGCGUGACCAAACAGGCCGUGCUGCGCUCAUUGCCGACGGGCGGCAGCGCUUCUCUCUCCCACAGGAACAGCUGGCCCUGACCGAGGCCAGGAGGGGCAACCCCAACUCUUCUCCGUGACAGACAGACAGACAUGAAUUCAAGGCACGGAUUAUCAAAAUUAACAAACUCUUUCUUUGGAACUCGGUAUGAAGGAAGCCGUAAUUGCAGUCAACACGCUGCACCGCAUCUCUUGUAGCAGUGGCACGGUAAAACCAUCGGGCGCUCACACACAGGUGGGCACACAGUCCCCUGAGCAGAAAGCGGAGCUGUUGCUGCUGGGGGCGGCACACGUGGGGACAGCCGGCAGCGCGCACAGGGCACACCUCCAUGCACUGCUUUCACUGGUCUUUCUGGUCGGUGGGCCCACGUUCAGACAAAAACAUUCACGUCACCCCGCUGUGAGUGAGCACUAAAUGCUCUCAAAGUGGCUUCUGCCAUCCUCGGUGGUACGAAAGGUUCCUUUUCCUUCAUACGAAAGGUACGAAAGGCAAAACCUUUGCCUUCCCUGAGCGCUGCCCCUGGCAGACCUCACCCACACACGCACCCUUCCAAGUCAGGGAAGCUGACAAGCACAAAACAUCUUUACCAACUGAGUUUCAGGAAUUGCGAACUGCGUGGCCGUGCAGAACAGCCCGCAUCCAGCAAGGCCAGUGUAAGGCACAGCCCUGCUCUUCCUUCUGCCGUCCCUCAGCCCAUAAGAUGCAAUCUGGUCUCUGUGUGGACGAGCUCACAGCUUCACCUGCCCACGGGGGAGAGCUCCAAGCAGUGCUGUGCCCGCACAGAAGGAAACUGGAGACUGCAACUGCAGCUGCUACCAUAAGGGAGCUCAACUACUGGAGGAAGAAGCUGGAGCAGCCAGCAUCAUCUUGCCCGACUUCCCUGUCAAAGUGAGCACCUCCUGUUCCUACACCAUCGGCCUCUCAGACACUGCAGGGUUACAGAUCCUGUUUAAAAAGCUUGAGUGAAUUAUCAAAGGGAUCCGUAUCAGCAUCAUCCGCACUAAGAAUAUCUGUGCUUCACAGUGGAAAUAAGCAGUCUUUAGAGAGAGCUGUGCUGGUGCCAAUUAAAAAAAAUAAACCAGAACAACUCUUGACUUACAGUGCUACAAAUGAGAAAGCACAGAGCUUAAUUCACAAAAGGUACCAGGCCCACACUGGGAAAUGAGCUAAUGGCACAAACGGGAGAAUACACAAAUGAUGCCUAUAUAGGCACGAGCAAGAAGGGAGCCUACAGCCACGCUGACUGGCUACCAGACCACGCUGUAUGCUUGACAGCUGAGGAACAAGGGGGCACACGGGCUAGCUACAAGCAGAAAGGCACCAGCUGCACUCAUGUUUUCCAUCAGAACCUGCCCAAAGCCAGGAUGAAAAAACAUCAGCUUUCUUCUCAAGUUUACACCACAUUGCUAAGAAUGGAAGGACGUAUCUCACAAACUUUGGAACGGGAUGUAGUGGAUAUCAAAAUACAGAAGGAAAAUAUUUACUCUAUUUUCUUUUAAAGUGUGGAAUACAUAAUGGAUAAUUAAUUGUUGAAUGAAGGGAGAUGUUAGACAGCUCUUCAUACUUGCACCUAGGUGUGACUGUGGGGAGACCCGAUCCCUGUGCCUGCACAGAGUUAGGCUGAUAGCACUGCUUUGCUUUGGAGCUGCUAAACCUAUUACCAUUUAUGAUGUGGAAGACAUUCCAAAUUUUCUCCCCUGGCUGAGGGGGAAGAAACAAACAAACAAACAAACAAACAAAUCAACUAGCUCAACCACAAACUGCAGUCUGCUAGAGAGUAGAGAGGUUUAAGCUUUGACUCCCCUAAUCUCCUCCUAAGGAAGGCAGCCUCCUAAACAGCGUAUCCUUCUGCAAACAUGGUUGAAUCGUUCUCUUCUAGCACAUCUAAAAAUUCAGUUCUAUGAGAGCAGGUCAUAAGUGCAAAUUAGACUCAAAAAGCAAGAACAAAGCGUCUGCUUGCUCUAAGGAAAUAACUACAAGAAUAACUGCCAUCCUAGCAAUGUUCCACACUUAGCUGUCUGGCUUUACAUGCAGGUUCCCAAGAACUGUAAGCAGAAGUUUUCUUCUACAUCUACAUUUCUGCAUUUACCAGUUCAUUCAAUACUUGCAAUUUCAAGAAUAAUAGGUAAUGGUACAUAAUUUGUUAAGAAAAUACAAUGCAACUCUAAACUGAAUUUUCAAAACCAUAAAAAGCAGUAUUUCACUAUUUACAGAGUAGUGCAGUAUUGUAAACAGACUAAAGGAUACCUAUACAUAAAUGACACUGAAUGAAGAACGCAUAGAACAGUUUAGCAUGACAAUCAACAUCACAAAUCUCAAUACAAACAUGAAGGAAGUCAGAGGAAGGAAGAAGAUUUUUCAAACUGCAUCUCUAAUGAAGUGCUCCUAUCAUUCUUUACAUUUUCAUUUACAAUGAUGGCACAAGUUAUGUACAGUGUUAGUAUAUUGUAUCAGUUACUGGGCAAUCACCAUUGCUAUCAGCGGACCUUAUUCACAGGUACUAAAAUAACCUUUUUGAACAACACUCAGUGAGCAGACACACAAGGAACUUAGAAAAGGAUUCCAUUUAUAUCUAAGUUCUGUCUUAGGUUACCAAAUGGCUUCCUAUUUAGGGCAACGUGAAUGUACACAGGGCUCAUUUCCUAAUUACAUCAUUGAUAUGCAGAAUUUUGUAUUUUAUCAAUAUUCUUUACAUAUACAAAGCAGUGUUUGGUAUUCAGCCAGAAACUGAAAUCUGUGUCCUUUCCUGAGGUUGCAAGUUAAUGCAUCACAAAGUGCAGCUCCCAGUGCUCUUUAAAAGUCAUGACCGCGUGGCACUGAAAACGAUGACUCCCAAUUUGGCAUAGCUUCACUGAGGGUCAGAAUUUCCAUCUCAUGAAGAAACAAAGAUGGUGAAGAAAGUCCAGCAGAGCAAACGGCGUUCCAGAGAUGGUGCUUGUUUUGUCCCUCCUGAGCAAGCAUGGACACCAGAAUGCAGAUGCCAGCUCACCUCUGCAGAAACCGUAUGCUUUUCUCCACCCUGGCACUGACCACCCUCCCUACUGGCUGCUGUCAGAAUUCCUUUGAAAGGGAGUUCCCAAGUUUUCUGGUGACUAAUAGGAAAUCGACAGAUAGAAAAUCCUAUUCAUUUUCCAGCUCUCAAGUGCUAUUUCAGUUUUCAUGAACUUGUGCCUCAGCUGUACAGCUGCAUAAUGGGAAUAAAGAGACCAAGUGCAGAAAUAUAAGGAGGACUUAAAAGAAAUACCUUUCCUAAGGAAAUCUGGGUUGAAAUACACGUGCCUUGCCAGCUUCAAAAUGAGCCAAAACAUGUCAUGUGGGAGUUACCCUCUCAUGGCUACAGGGACAGCUCCACAGCUGUUUUUCUAGUGACAUGAAGGACCUUCAGAACUCCUGAUCUGUGGCCCAGCAGCUUUUGCAGUAGUUGAAUUGCGCUGAAGUGACUGAAGAAAGACCAAGAAACACCUGGUGGGUAACCGAACCAUCUCUGCAGAUGACAGGUCUUGAAGACCCAACUGUUUGCAGUGGGAUACAGACUGAGUCCCCAGCUCCACUACUCGGUCAUUCACAGCGCCGUUAUGAGCAGCAGCAGAAUCUGGAGUUCGUUCUUCUUUAUUCCUUGAGUAGUUUAGAGACGCUUCAGUGAGCGAGCAAGGAGCGAACCCAGCAACUCUCAGGCUUCAUCUCUACUAUUCAGGAAUUUAAAGACCAGGGUUCCAAGUUUGUUUCACAGAGCAUACCUACACCCCAGACGUCACUGGUUUUCCACGUUACGUAGCCGUGCACUUCUGGUAGGCAUUUAACAACACUAUGAAUGAGGUCCAUAGCGUUACGGUACACAGUCCUCGCUGCAAUAUGUUGCAUUGGCUCACAAAACAACCAAGAUGUUGCUGUUCUUCCGAGAAAAACAUUUACCUAAUAUUUGUCCUAUGGAGCUUAAAUAGUUUCUUUUUUUGUAUGUUUUUGCUUUUUCUUUAAAUCUCAAACCAUGCAUGAUCGGAAAUGAAAUCUAUUUGGUUAAGCCGUGUAAUCUGCUUGUAAGAGUGCAUUGCAUAUGAACUGUAAUCAUACAAGUUGCUUUUUUUUUUCUUUUUUUCUUAAUUGAAGGUAAUUAUUCUGGAUAAUUCUUUGAGAUUUACUUGCCUACGUACUUUUCCAAUUAGCAGAACCUGAAACACCUUGUAGGUAUCACUACUUAGGACACAGGCACAAGUGCUUGUGAAGGCACUUUCCCUACAAAGCUUCCAAGAUUUAAUUACUGAACACACAUAGGACAACCAUCUGAUCACUAGUACAGCACAGUCUGGUUACUAGAUAGAUCUGUAGACUAGAAACUAGUUUAACUUAAAUUAACCUUCCUUGCUUUUUUUUUUUUUUCUUUUCCUCUCCCCAAAAAGGCACAGGAUACAAUUUUUUAUGACACUUAGGCAGGGAAAGGGCAUUUUCCCACUUUCGGAUUUAUAAAUCAGUCUUGCAGCAGACCACUGGAUUCAUUCAUGCCAUCAUCUUCUCCUUUUCUUCUCCUCCAAAACAAAUUACAGUUUAAAGCCUUUUUCAUUAUACCUAUGAAUGGUCACACAGCCAUGAUACGAUACUGGCCUGGGCAUGGCUGCUACUCCUGUGAUAAUGCCCGUUGCAGGAUCAUAGCAAAGAAUAGUGUCUGUGGCUUCACCGUUUUCUCGUCUUCCACCAAGGAUAUAGAUCUUUCCAUUACACACAGACAUGCCACAAUUCUCCUGUCUGCUGAACGUAUUCUGUACAUGCAUCCAGUAGUCCUCAAUUGGAUCAUAGCAGUAUAUUGCCUUGGUGAGCCCACCAGCAACAUAAAUCAGAUUGUUUAAAGACACAGCCGUAAUACAUCUUUUUGCAAUAGGGAUAGUGGCACGGAGCAGCCAAGAAUUAGUGUCAGGAUCAUAAGACUGAACCUUGUCAGAACACGUGUUGUCAUCAG